AACCCAUGGUGAGGGCACCUUCUCAACAAAUCCUUGUAUCUCUCCCAUGCAUCACAUAGUAUUUCUAAAUCUGUCUGCGCAAAAGAAGAGAUAUCAUUCCCCAAUUU
Molecule: non-coding RNA, 107 nt
Organism: Gossypium hirsutum (cotton)
Lineage: Eukaryota; Viridiplantae; Streptophyta; Magnoliopsida; Malvales; Malvaceae
Source: Rfam